Molecule: long non-coding RNA, 1044 nt
Organism: Dicentrarchus labrax (European seabass)
Lineage: Eukaryota; Metazoa; Chordata; Actinopteri; Moronidae
Exons: 3
Source: RefSeq, a predicted model, not a curated record
CACAUCGUGGACACGCUCUCAGUUCCGAGCAAAUUCUUUGUAUUGCAUUGCGUUUUAUUUUGCCAACAGCGGUUUUUUGUGUAACAUCGGUGAUGCACAGCAUGUGUCUAAGGCAACUGUCUGUCGGGCUGUCCGAAAUGUGACACUUGCACUGAAACGACUACUAUUAUAUAUAUUAUUAUACACGUUUGUAGUGUUCCCAAGUCACAGACCCACCAGACUUCUCUCACAGAAGAGUUCCACAGAAUUGCAGGUAUCAGUCUAAGCAAUAAUUAGUUUAUGUCAUUAAGCUUUGAGACUUGAAGCACUGAUCAGUCAAUUUGAUAUAUUUUAGGGUUUCCACGUGUGAUUGGCUGCAUAGAUGGCACUCACAUUCCUAUCAUAGCUCCUUCAAUAAAUGAAGUGAAUAGGAGAUCUGUCCACAGCAUUAAUGUACAGAUCAUAUGUGAUGCAGCCCACAUGAUAAACAAUGUGGAAGCGAAGUGGCCUGGGUCUGUGCAUGACUCACGAAUGUUUCGUGAGUCUACACCGAGUGCCAGAUUUGUGAGUUCGAUGGUUACCUCCUCGGAGACAGAGGGUACCCCUGCCAGCGCUAUCUGCUGACCCCUGACCCUGAGCCUGAGCCUGAGCCUGGCCCACAGCAACACUACAACUUGGCUCACUGCAGGACACAAGCCAGAGUGGAGAUGACCAUCGGGAUACUCAACACCCGGUUCCAGUGCCCUUGUAGGCUGUGUGGUUCUCCACAACAUUGCCACUAUUAGAGGAGAACAAUGUCCUACUCUUCCCCCUAUGAUCCAGAUAAUAAUCCUGACCCCCCCGCUGAUGCACGAGAUGGAAGAGCUGUUAGAGACAUGAUAUGCUUCAAUCAUUUCUAACUGACCCAUCACCCCCCCAUUGUCAAAGAAUGACAAUAUGCCUCUCAUUUUAUGAGGUCUUCUUUAUUUCCUAGAAGGACAAAUGUUGUACAGUUGUUAAUCCUUUAUCCUUUGUUGUUGACACAAUUAAAAGUCAUCCACCUGUGGGCACGUCACCCAGCUUUAA